GACGAACGCUGGCGGCGUGCUUAACACAUGCAAGUCGAACGAGAGCGACCGGCGCUUGCACGGGUCAAUCUUGUGGAGAACGGGUGUGUCACAUGUGUGUACUCUCCUCAACUUUGGGGUAAAUUCUGGGGACUCGGGCGCUAACAGCGUAUAGGUCCCUGAGGCGCGUGGCGUGUAGGGAAGUAUCGGCGGAAGCGUAUGCACAUGGAUGGACUCGCGGUGCAUUUGCUAGUUGGGGGGGUAACGGCUUACCAAGGUCGUGAUGCAUAGCCGAUCAGAGAGGCUGAUCGGCCACAUUGGAACUGAGACACGGCCCAAACUCCUGCGGGAGGCAGCAGUAGGGAAUCUGCCGCAAUGGACGCAAGUCUUACGGAGCAACGCCGCGUGAGUGAAGAAGGCUUUCGGAUCGUAAAACUCUGUUGUUAGAGAAGAACAAGUGCUGGAGUAACUGUUAGCGCCUUGACGGUAUCUAACCAGAAAGCAACGGCUAACUACGUG
This 498-nucleotide ribosomal RNA is filed under the name uncultured bacterium. RNAcentral's name for it is "partial 16S ribosomal RNA". It matches the Rfam family "Bacterial small subunit ribosomal RNA", at positions 28 to 507 of the family's 1533-position model. The record is from RNAcentral.